Caretta caretta (loggerhead turtle) is the source of this 14812-nucleotide non-coding RNA. Lineage: Eukaryota; Metazoa; Chordata; Testudines; Cheloniidae. The record is from RefSeq and is a predicted model, not a curated record.
GGUCAGGUGUCAGUGGGCCCCCUUCCCACUUUGAGGGAACCUUCUGCCACUCCUGGCUCACCCUGCUCCUUGCCUCUUGGCCAUCGUGACGUCUAAGGCAGACGCUGCUGAAGACCUGCUGCCAGAGCCGCACGGGCUGGAGCCAGGAGAGGGAUGGAAGGGGGUUAAGCCCACCCCAGGAGCCAUGCAGUUGAAGCUGGAGCGGGUAGGGGCUCAAGCCCACCGUUGGAGCCUCCUGCUGAAGUGGGGGUUGGGGGGGUUGAAGUCCACCCCCGGCGUCCCACAGCUGGGUCACCCUAACUCUGCAUUGUAGACCAGGGCUAAGUGAUGUAGGAGCCUAAUGAGUGUGACUGCUGUUUGUUGGCCCAGCUGUGAGUAAUUUACACCUCAAAGAGACGGGACAGCAGGACAAGCAGCUUGUUCAAUAUCUUCAUAAAUGAUCUGGAGGAUGGUGUGGAUUGCACCCUCAGCAAGGUUGCAGACGACACUAAACUGGGAGGAGAGGUAGAUACGCUGGAGGGUAGGGAUAGGAUACAGAGGGCCUUAGACAAAUUAGAGGACUGGACCAAAAGAAAUCUGAUGAGGUUCAACAAGGACAAAUGCAGAGUCCUGCACUUAGGACGGAAGAAUCCCAUGCACUGCUACAGACUAGGGACCGAAUGGCUCGGCAGCAGUUCGGCAGAAAAGGACCUAGGGGUUACAGUGGAUGAGAAGCUGGAUAUGAGUCAACAGUGUGCCCUUGUUGCCAAGAAGGCCAAUGGCAUUUUGGGAUGUAUAAGUAGGGGCAUUGCCAGCAGAUCUAGGGAUGUGAUCGUUCCCCUCUAUUCGACAUUGGUGAGGCCUCAUCUGGAGUACUGUGUCCAGUUUUGGGCCCCACACUACAAGAAAGAUGUGGAAAAUUUGGAAAGAGUCCAGCGGAGGGCAACAAAAAUGAUUCAGGGACUGGAGCACAUGACUUAUGAGGAGAGGCUGAGGGAACUGGGAUUGUUUAGUCUGCGGAAGAGAAGAAUGAGGGGGGAUUUGAUAGCUGCUUUCAGCUACCUGAAAGGGGGUUCCAAAGAGGAUGGAUCUAGACUGUUCUCAGUGGUAGCUGAUGACAGAACAAGGAGUAAUGGUCUCAAGUUGCAAUGGGGGAGGUUUAGGUUGGAUAUUAGGAAAAACUUUUUCACUAGGAGGGUGGUGAAACACUGGAAUGUGUUACCUAGGGAGGUGGUGGAAUCUCCUUCCUUAGAUAUUUUUAAGGUCAGGCUUGACAAAGCCCUGGCUGGGAUGAUUUAGUUGGAGAUCGGUCCUGCUUUGAGCAGGGGGUUGGACUAGAUGACCUCCUGCGGUCCCUUCCAACCCUGAGAGUCUAUGAUUCUAUGGAGGGGGCCAACCUGAGCCUGAGAAGGAGCCAGAAUUUACCAAUGUACAUUGCCAAAGAGCCACAGUAAUACAUCAACAACCCCCCGCAUUAGCUCCCCCCCCCACUCUGCUUCUAGCACCUCCCGCCCACCAGCAGCCCCACCAAUGGGCACCUCCCCCUCCAUCCCCACACCUCCUGAUCAGCUGUUUCGUGGCAUGCAGGAGGCUCUGGGGGGAGGGGGGAGAAGUGAGGGCACCUCAGGCUCAAGGGGGGGAUGGGAAGGCGUAGCGUGGGGGCAGGACCUGUGGCAGAGCCAGGGGCUGAGCAGUGAGUACCCCCCGGCAUAUUGGAAAGUUGGCGCCUGCAGCUCCAGCCCUGGAGUCGGUGCCUAAACAAGGAGCCACAUGUUAACUUCUGAAGAGUCGCAUGGGGCUCCGGAGCCACUGGUUGGCCACCCCUGAACUAAUGGGAGGGUGUACCAGAAACAUGGGGGUCUGAGUCCUUACACUUUCCCAAGACAAUUUACAUGGGGUUGGUCUUGUCUGAGUCAAUGUAUCCCCUUGGUUAGACCAAGACCUCAUCACAUAGGUAGACCCGCCUAAAUUCACGGUCCAUUUUGGUCAAUUUCAUGGCAAUAGAACUUUUACAUUUAGUAAAUUUUGUGAUUUCAGAGGUUUAAAUCUGAAAUUUCAUGGUGUUGUAACUGUUGUGGGGGUCCCGACUCAGAAGAGGGUUUGGGGGGGGGGAUCACAAGGUUACUACAGGGAGGUCACCAUACUGCCACCUUUUCUUCUGCCCUGCUGCUGGUGAUGCCUUGCUGGACAGCAGGAGAGCAGCAGCUGCUGGUCAGGAGCCCAGCUCUGAAGGCAGCACCAGUACCAGCAACAACACAGAAGUGAGGAUGGCCCGGUGCGGUAUGGCAUGGGAGUGUCACCCUUACGUCUGUGCUGCUGCCUGAAGAGCUGGGCCCUCAGUCAGCAUCCGCCACUCUCCAGCCGCCCAGCUCUGAAGGCAGCAGGGCAGAAAUAAGGGUGGCCUGGUAUGGUAUUUCCACCCUUACUUCUGCGCUGCAGCUGGUGGGGUGUUGCCUUCAGAACUGGGCGCCGAGCCAGCAGCCGCUGCCUUCAGGACCGGCUGCCCAGAUCCUUGUGACCCCAGCUCCUUGUGACCCCUCCCCCCCCGUGAUUCUCUUGUGUUGGGACCUCCCGUUUGAGAAACACUCGUCUGUCCCGUGAAUUCUGCAUAGUAUGGGGUAAAAGCACACAAAAGGCCAGAUUUCACAGCCAUGAAGUUGGUAGGGCCCUACACCUAGGCUUAGAUCCUCAAAUAGGUGACUAAAGCCGUUUGAGGCUCUUGGCCUUGGGCCUGCUUUCUCUGUACCUUCUAAAGAAACAAAGACAAGCAAGGAAUACCUGCUCCAGGAAUGGUGCAAGGAUUUCCCCAUGAUGACUGUUUCUGUAACCCUUUUGGGGUUUAGCGAGCAUGGCCCCUUUAAACCUUUGCCCUGAGGGGAAAAAGUGCUGCUCGUUCGAGAGAAUGUGUGUUUGUGUGUGUGUGUUCCCCCCCCCCCGCUAAAAGGGUUCUUGUAGUGAGUAGGCCUUCACAUAGUGAAGCAGCUGAAGCUUGGGUGUAGGGUUACCACCUGGCCAGUACUUGACCAGCCUAGCCGGUUUUUUUAUGGAUUUGCAGUUGCGAGGAAAAUUAUUUACUCUGCUGGGGUUUUUUUAACCUGGGUGUAAGGAUUUGUGUUAUUAUCACAAUACACUGGGAUAACUAAUGUUAAAAGUUUCUGUGUCCAGCUAAAGAUGCUGCAGUGUUCCCACUUCCACAGUUUAAGUGAUAACAGAUCAGAACGGUUGAAAAUACAGCAGCUGGCUGCCCACCUAAAGGCAAGCGCACUGCCUGUGUGUUGAACGAGGGUUUGAGUCAUGUGAGUGUGAGGAGACAUGCAAGGUAUAAUUAAAUAAUAGAAGAGCAGCACUACGGUGUGAGUGAUCCUACUUCACCCCCGGAAAAAAAGCUUGCAUCAGAAACAGCCCAGUCAGUCACAACUGGUUAAACAAACCAGACUACAAAGCCUAGAUGGCAAAAUGUGCUGAUAAAACAAAGUCCCGUAAUUUAUCAUUGAUAUGAUCAAUCAUAUCUAUAUGGGCUAUCUCUCCAGAUACUAUAAGUCGCUGUUGAAGGUAGCGGUUGCGGAGUUGCCUUAUGGUUGGGGUUGCCUCAGACUUGCCGUGAGGAGGGCGGGCUGGCUGGGUAUUUUUGCAUUUCAAAGGUUGUAACCCUACCUGGGAGGGACAUAGUGGCCAACAGGACCAUCCCAGGACUGUGUUAUACCAAUAAAAUAAAAACCAGCAGGAUCUUAUUAAAGGAGAAAAGACAAAGUGCCACAUUUAUUGUGAAUACAGAAAGAAUCAUAGUAAGCAGUUAGAAAAGGAGGACUUGUGGCACCUUAGAGACUAACCAAUUUAUUUGAGCAUAAGCUUUCGUGAGCUACAGCUCACUUCAUCGGAUGCAUACUGUGGAAAGUUUAGAAGAUCUUACAUAGCUCUAACAUUCCAUUCAAUUUCAUAUUUAUUCACACAUUCAUUCAUACACACAGACACAGGUUCCGCAAGGUUGUUAUCAUAGUUACCAGCCUUAGAGUUGCUCAUGCCAAGCCACUGGCCAGGUGGCCUGGAUAUGAGGAGGGAGCAGGGCCUUGUUAGAUGAGCAUUUGUGUGUUUGAGUGAAUGUGUGAAUAAAUAUGAGAUUGAAUGGAAUGUUAGAGCUAUAACUAGCUGCUUACUGACAGGUUUCAGAGUAACAGCCAUGUUAGUCUGUAUUUGCAAAAAGAAAAGGAGUACUUGUGGCACCUUAGAGACUAACCAAUUUAUUUGAGCAAAAGCUUUCGUGAGCUACAGCUCACUUCAUCGGAUGCAUACUGUGGAAAGUGUAGAAGAUCUUUUUAUACACACAAAGCAUGAAAAAAUACCUCCUCCCACCCCACUCUCCUGCUGGUAAUAGCUUAUCUAAAGUGAUCACUCUCCUUACAAUGUGUAUGAUAAUCAAGGUGGGCCAUUUCCAGCACAAAUUUAGGGUUUAACAAGAAAGUCUGAGGGGGAGGAAAAAACAAGGGGAAAUAGGUUACCUUUCAUAAUGACUUAGCCAUUCCCAGUCUCUAUUCAAGCCUAAGUUAAUUGUAUCCAAUUUGCAAAUGAAUUCCAAUUCAAUAGUUUCUCGCUGGAGUCUGGAUUUGAAGUUUUUUUGUUGUAAUAUCGCAACUUUCAUGUCUGUAAUCGCGUGACCAGAGAGAUUGGUUUAUGAAUGUUAUAAUUCUUGACAUGUGGUGUGGUCAGGGUGAAAGCUGGAGGCAUGUAGGUAGGAAUAGCGGUCAGUAGGUUUCCGGUAUAGGGUGGUGUUUAUGUGACCAUCGUUUAUUAGCACUGUAGUGUCCAGGAAGUGGAUCUCUUGUGUGGACUGGACCAGGCUGAGGUUGAUGGUAGGAUGGAAAUUGUUGAAAUCAUGCUCAAGAAACUCCCUGAAAAAGCACAAGAUCAAAUCCGCACAGAUACACCCCUGGAACCCCGACCUGGAAAAUUCUAUCUACUACCCAAGAUCCAUAAACCUGGAAAUCCUGGGCGCCCCAUCAUCUCAGGCAUUGGCACCCUGACAGCAGGAUUGUCUGGCUAUGUAGACUCCCUCCUCAGGCCCUAUGCUACCAGCACUCCCAGCUACCUUCGAGACACCACUGACUUCCUGAGGAAACUACAAUCCAUCGGUGAUCUUCCUGAUAACACCAUCUUGGCCACUAUGGAUGUAGAAGCCCUCUACACCAACAUUCCACACAAAAAUGGACUACAAACCGUCAGGAACACUAUCCCCGAUAAUGUCACGGCUAACCUGGUGGCUGAACUUUGUGACUUUGUCCUUACCCAUAACUAUUUCACAUUUGGGGACAAUGUAUACCUUCAGAUCAGCGGCACUGCUAUGGGUACCUGCAUGGCCCCACAGUAUGCCCACAUUUUUAUGGCUGACUUAGAAAAAUGCUUCCUCAGCUCUCGUCCCCUAACGCCCCUACUCUACUUGCGCUAUAUUGAUGACAUCUUCAUCAUCUGGACCCAUGGAAAAGAAGCCCUUGAGGAAUUCCACCAUGAUUUCAACAAUUUCCAGAAGGAACUCCAACCUCACCUUUUGUUAAAAAACAUUACACCUGUUAAACAAAUCCUUCAAAAAUCUGGGCACAGUCCUCGGACUAAACAAGCCCUAGCUGAUGUCUGCACUAUUUCGGACCUAGAGGAUAGAUGGGCUCAGUAUAUCCUCAUAUACAAACCUUCUAGUGCUGCCAAAAGAGUUGCAGCAAUUUGGUUGUUGUGGGAGGCAUGUAAGGAUUCUUACCGCUGCUUGUCUUCAUGUAAAGAGGAAAAGGCACAAACGGAAAAGGGAGCAGACAAUUGGAAGGUGCUGGCUACAAAUACCCAAAGUCAGCUGAAAAUAGUGAAAGAGGCACUCCCGGAAUGCAAAAAGAGAGAAAGAUUCCUGGCAGACCAAGCUAAAGCCUCUGAGAAAAUUGAAAGAGCGAAUCAUGUACUCCAAGAACUCUAGUAAGAGGUUGGAGAUUUGCCCCAGGGCAAAGUGAGUGUAAAAGGCUGUGAGCAGAGGGAGAUAUUUGAUCUGGGAAGCGCAGGAGUCAUCAUCUAUGCAAAUUAUAAGAACAUUAGAAAGCUGAAGAGGAGGAAGGUAGCAGGGCAAAUGAAUUUGCAGAGCAAUCUGGAAACACCUAAUUUCAAAGGCAUCUGGAUGAGGACCAAGGACCAAGAGUUUCAAGCAAUUAGUGGCUUUAGGUGCCGAACCUGAGACACAAGGCCAGUGUGUAGACUGCUGUUCGAAUUGAAACAAGUUCCUCUGCUUUGUCUGGAUAUCUCCUUGGCACUCAUCGGCUUCCAAUGCAAUUAAAUGUUCAACCAUAAUGCCAUCUGAUGGGCAAGAAAAGAAAGCAACAUGAGAAGAAAGGCUAAUCCACCUGCCUCAGCAGCCCUUCAAGGUAAAUGAAGAUCAAGCAGAUUAUAAAAUGAGCAGUAUGAUGUGGAAGAAGGAGCAGGCAGGUGAGUAGCAGGAACAGCCAAAUCCUAUUCCUGCUGUACAACGACUCUCUGCCUUGAAGAGUUUAAGGCUUUAUUCCCACUUCCAGCCAAAGUCCACUUAGUACAAGACACGGGAGUGGAAGGAGGGACUGUCUCUCUGUAAUCUCAGGUUUGGGAUUGAGUCAAUCCUCAAUACAAAUUAGAGCAUCCUCAACUAUUGUAAGCUGCGGUUGGCUGUUUAUGGACCCAAUAGCCAGGACAGUCUGACAGCCAAAAACAGCUGUCAAGUAGUGACAGACCCCUUUUCUCCAGACACAUCCUCCACUUAUCCCCUGUGCUGAGGGAAUGUGUUGGUGGCAAGAUCUGCUGUGUUUACAUCCCGGAACAGUGUAAAGGGGCCAAAUCCCAAUGAAGACUCAGUCUCUUUUCGUCUAGAGGAGCAGUUCUCAACUGGUGGUCCGUGGCCCUCUGGGGGUCUGUGAGCCCUUUCAGGGGGGCCAUGGGCCCCCAUGACUGAAACCCCAAGCCCCGGCUUCCCCUGCGGGGCUGAAGCCAGGAGCAGCAUGGGGCUGAAGCCCCAUCCCUGGUGCUCCCACCCAGGCUGAAGGUGGGAGCAGUGACGGGCUGAAACCCCAAGCUCCCUCCCACCCUUCCACUGAAGCCGGGAGCAGCAGGGCUGAAGCCCUGAGCCCAUUGGCAGAGUUGAGGGGGCAUGAGGGUGUUGCCCCACCAAACUGCAGUGCCUUACCCAGAGUGGGGCAGUCCUGGGGGCAGCUCCAUCCCCCCACCUCCUCCUUUUUCUCAGCCCCCCUCUGACCAGAUCGUAGGUGGGAAGCCAGAGCUAGGCAGUGCGGGGCAGCUGCUCCUCUGACUAGUGGUGUCAUGGAGUGGGCAGCUGUGGCAUUCCCCCAUCUGCUGCCUGCCCAGGGUUGCAGCUGUUCCUCAGCUCCCAGCCCUCUUUGACUGCUCAUGCAGCUGGUCAGCUGCCCAGGUGGGGACCCGGCUCCAGGGCCGGCCAAGCCCCUGGAGAGCAGCCACUGGCAAACAGCCCCAGACAGGUGGGUGACCUGCUGAGGUGAGUCGGGUGGGAGGUGGAGCUCCUUACCUGGACCCUGCUUUGCGGAGCUGGCCUGAGCCCUGCCGGCCGUUGCCCCCCCAAAAUAGAAGUCAAACUAUGCCUAUGCCCAAGGGUCCCACCCCUGGCCGGAGCCCUGAGUCUCUUCCCCUCUCCCCCCCUUAGCUGGGCCCUGGAGAUUUUAUAGCAUGUUGAGUGGGGCCUCAGAAAGAAAAAGGGUGAGAAGCCCUGGUCUAGAGGGCAGCUGCAGAGAAGAGACACUGGACAAUCCAAAGGAGGGCAUAUCACAGAGGUUGUCUCCCCAUAAUAUAAUUAAUAUAGGCUUGUAUCUAUCACACAAUUUUUUUUGUUAAUGCCUUUUCCCAGAAGAGCUCUCCGAUGAGCCUAACUAGUAGGGAGAGGUUUAGCUGAAACAACGGCUGCCCAAAGCCAUCGCCCACACAAACCAAACCUCAUUAUUGUUCAGAUUGGCAUAUCUCUGCCCAGUGUGGUUCCAGCAGCAGUAGAAACGUCACCGUUCAUACUGCAUUUGUGGUCUUGCAAAUCUACCCAGAAGCAGGAAGUGCUGGAAAUCUCUGGAUAAGGCUGUUCUGUCCAGACUUUCCAGCCAUGGUUUGCAGGCUUAAAUGUUUCAGAUAAGCCUCCAGGCCAUGAGGUCCUUAAUCCAAAGAGAAUGGGACUUCUGAGGCUUGCCAGGCACUGUGAUAUUUCCUAGUGUGAGGUAUACAAUCAGAAACUCACAAAUUCCUUUAUUACUAAUGCAGUUGCACCAUAUAGAAGAUGGCAGCCAGCCUAUGGAGCCAGUGAAUACUGACCUGUCACAUCUAACUUGCCCCAUUACCAUGGUAUCUGAACACCUCUCAACCAUUCUAAAGCAUUUAUCCUCACAACACCACUGUAGGGUGCUGCUUUCCUUCCCAUUAUACACCUGAGAAACAGCAGAACAUAGGCUUUACGUGGCUGGCCCAAGGUCACAGAGGAAGUCAGUGGCAAGGUCAGAAAUGGAACCGAUGUCUCUAAAGUCCCUGGCUAAUGGCCAAACGAUUAUGUAACUAUGUCAGGUGACUGAGGCCAAGAAAUAAAAAUGAGGCUCUUCCCAGCAUUUCUGUGUGUCAUCUUUUUAUUACAACAUGUCAAAAGGAAACUCAGGCCCAAAAUAGAGCUAAUGAAACCUCAUGAAUCCCUUCCUCUAGAAGGGGACCUAGGACAGAACUGAAAGAGAUGACUGUAGAGCUUCUAACUUUUCCUGGAAGGAAAUGGUGCUGAGGAGAACUAGGAGAAUGUGAAAUUCUCCAGAUUACAACGCAUGGCGGACCCAGAGACACUGGCAAACUGCAAUAUAUUGCAGCAGAAGCAUCCCAGGGGAUAAAUUAUUCACAAAUUUAAAUAUUGUGACCACGCAGGAAUGUCACUGCUUCUUCCCAACAAGCCAGACGCCAAAUGACUGAAGCAAAGAAGCUUCUCUCAAGGUCCAUUUCUGCAGGACAACACGCAGACACAGCAACAUCAGUUCUAAACAAAAUCAAUGCCUUUCUUAAUCAAAGAAGAUAUGCUGAAAGGAUGAGGAGGGAAUAAGUUCUGUUAGAGCAGUGGGUUAGGAAUCACAAAUGGGUUCUCUCUUCAACUCACAAGGAAAGCUUGGUGCCCAGAUGCUCCAAUCAAGGAUCAGGGCCCUGGGAUGCUAAGGUCUCUACAAAUAAGAAAUACCCAGCUCCAGCAGGCAUACAUUUAAUAAGCUUAUGAAAGGACACAAGAAGUCAAUGAAAUGGAGAAAAAGAAGCUGAGAGGGAAUUGAGAAGACUGCAGUAAAGGAGCAUGUUUUGACAGUCAGCAGGAACCUCAGCUUGCCUUUUGACUAGCCAUUGUCACAUGGCAAUCGACUAUGGGCAUCACAGCAGAGGCGUGACUCGAAUACCUCCUCAAGUCUUAGUUCUGCGGAUUGUAGGACUAACACUGCUCUGGUGGCUACCGAGGCCGGGACUCCAUUGUCCAGGGUGCUGUGAAAACACACAGUAAGAUGGCCUUCACUGAAGACUUCAUGAUCUAAACAGACUAGAUAAAGGAUGGGAAAAGGGAAGUAUCAUCCCUAUUAUAUGGAUGUGGAACUGUGACCCCCUUCCUAGAAUAUGAAUGCUUUCCUGAAUAAGGAAGCACGAAAGCACGUACCUAAGCCCCAUUGAAGCCACUAGGACGUAAACUGAUAUUUAAAAGCUAAACACAUAUUUCCUGAAUCAAAGCCAAGUGACUUGCUUAAUUUUAUACAGGAAGUCUAUGGCAGAGACUUGAAUAGAACCCAGAGCUCAAGUUCCAGUCAAAUGCGUGAACCAUAAGUUGAUCCUUGCUCUUUUAAUUUCUCUUCUCUCUGCUUAUAUUUUAUUAUUUAACUCUGUAAAGCUUUCAUGUUGUAUGAAGAUGCUUAUACAAAUCACAGUUGUAUUCUCUCUGUUUUAAUUGUGCCCUUGAAAACAUGACACUCUCAGAUAAAAAGGAAUCCUAAGUGAACAAUAGUGGCUAUAAUCAUAGAACCUGCUCAGAGUUACACAGUCUAAAAUUUACAAGCCAGACAAUGGGUUUCAGUUUAAAAAUAUAAAUUAUAACCCCACCAGGAAUCUUUUUUACAGUGCAAAAGCUACUCUUUGACUCUGCCAUGGGUUUUUAUUAAGGGAUUUAUAAAGGGAAAUCUUAAAUAAAUACAGCUGGUGCAAGCCACAAGUAGGACUGGAUUAUAGAUGACAAAAUUAGCCAGAUAGAUAGUCUCUGAGGUCCUUUCCAGACAGCAGUUGUAAUCAUUGUAAUAAGGGUAUGGCACACUGGAGUACUGGAAAGAAAGAAACUGGCCUUUUCUUUUCCUUCUUGGCCGUAGUCACAGGACAUAGUUGAAGGUUUUAAAAGGUUGAUACCCCUGUCAUUUGGCAGGGGGUCAGUAUCAGCUGACUUCAGCGGAUACUGUUUUCCAAAAAAUCAAACAUAGAUAAAACAUAAUAUCAAUUAGUGCUGUUCAAAAAUUCUGACCAGAUUCUUUUUCCACACAAAAUUGGGUUUUGACGUCAACUUUCUGCAGAAAGUUUUGAUUUUUCAUCCAAAAAUCCAGUGCCCCAAAAACAAAAUAUUUUGAUUUGGAUAUCCUGCUAUAGUGUUUCAUGGGAGUUUUCUAUUUCCUCAUAUCCCCUUUGUCCUCUAUCGGCUGGGCUCCCCAGCCAGACUACAUCUCCCAUGAUGCACCAUGGCCAGGGAGUCACAUGAUGCAGCCAGCUACCCUCACCAUGAGUGUAUCAUGGGAAAUGUCCAACUCGGGGAGCCUGGUCCAUACAGGAGAAUAGGAGCUUGAGGCCCCUAAACUACAAUUAUCCUGAGGCACAUUUCUGAAUAGAAACAGGAUGGGUUUUGUCUGGAAAAACAAUGGGGGGGGAGGGGUUUGCUGAAAAAUCCACAUUUUCCAGAGCAGAAAUUCCCAUUUUCUGACCAGCAAUAAUAUCAAACAAGAAGCACCACAAAUAACUGCCAGUAAGUAAAACCCCCAGACUGAGACAUCUAGGGCAGGUAUCCAUGUAGACAAAAACUCCUGAAUGAGAAGGUGAUUAUUCUGCCUCUUACUGGACACGGCAGUGACUAUUAACCCUGAACCUCAAUGCCUGUCUGCUCACAUGGCCACUUCUUGUUCCCAAAGCAGUUCCUUCUGCAGUGGCCUAGUCAGUAGCUGAGGUGGAUCCCCCACCUGAAAGCUGUGCUUGCUGCUCCCCAUGCUUUUCAUUGUUUGUGACUGGCUGACCUGUUAUUUCUGUCUGCACAUGAUGACUGGCAGUAGCUUUGUGGUUCUCUUCAAGGAAUAUGGAGCCAAUAUCGUCCUUGCUUUGUUUAUCUGUCUUGUGUUCCUCCUGUAGACCGACCCUCACAGAUAGUUACGAUAUAUGAACUUGAUGUGGGGAUGAUAUAGCUAUUCACUUGCCAGGCAGCUGCCACUUUUAGUUUGAAAUGUAACAUCCCCUCUCUCUUUCAGUGGGAGUAUGUAUGUGUAUCUUGUUUGUGUUCCAUGAACAUGCUAUUAAACAAGUUUAAUAGAUUUUUUUGCACAAACAGCAAAUGAUACAUGAAUGUUAGAGAACAUGGCAAUUAAAUACUGAACUCAUAGACAUGAAUAUUCACACAUGAUUCUAAGAGGCAUACUCAUCUAGUCAGGGAACAGAAACAAUAUCAUGUGACCUGUGUGUCAAAUCAAAACCAACUGCUCCCAUUCAAAGUCUAGAUUCUAGAAAAUGAAUUCUGGCAGUGAACUCCUUAAGAACAACUUACAGGCACAUCUUUUUUUUUUUCAGAAAUGUGGGGAAUAAUCUCGAAUAAUGAAUACACUUUUGAAAAAAAUCAAACCGCUCACAGUCCACCCACAAACAGAAAAGGUGAAAUUCAUAUAGUUAUUUGCUAUGAAUUAUUUGUUCAGUUUUAUUUCUAAUAUUAAUACUUUGCACUUCCUUAUUGUCUUUUAUUCAGGAAUCUCAAAGUACGUUCCAAAAAUUAAUUCGUUUUACAUCCCCACACUCCUGCAUGUGUGUAAUUAUACCCCUUUUACUGAGAUGCAUAGAGCUUGAUUCUUCUCUCACAGACACCUUUGUAAAUAAGGAGUAACUCACUGAAGUCAAUGUGGCUACUCACAUGCUUAAAAUAAAUCCCAUGCUUAAAUACUUUUCAGGAUCAGGGUGAGAAUAUCCAGCCUUAAGUGACUGCUGCAAGUCCACUUAGCAACACAGAAGCAGAGCCAGGAAAAGCACCCAGAAGUCCUGACUGCCAGUUCACUAGUCUCUCCCUUAGACUGCACUAAUCCUCUACAAGUCACCCAUCUUGUCCUGGCCAAUAUGCUGUUAGCAUUGUACCAGUACAUUUGAAAUAGGUAGUUCCUAUCAAAAAAUCAUACGACAUAAUACAUACCAGUGGCAUUGAUUUGCUAAAGAACUUGCUAGAAAUAUACAGUCAUUAGUAAUUGGAUCAACCUCACAAUGCUGUGAGUUCCCCAGUAAAACAAUGGAAAAUCUUUGCAGGAAGGUUCAAAAUUCUCACCUUGUAGAUAAAAAAUGUAUUACCACUCUUCUGUCCACUACCCCAUAAUUUUUACAUUGUACUGUAUUUCAUAUCACACUGGACACAAACCUUAUGAGGGUUCAUGUGUAUGUGUGUGUCUCUCUCUCUCUCUGAAUUUUCUAAUACUUAAGGGCCCAUUUCAUGUUAUUUAUUACCUCACUCGAGUAGAAGCUGAGAUCUAUAAAUCGUAAACACAGGUUCCCUAAUUCUACCAACAGCUAGUUUUAGUCACAUGUAAUUAAAACAUCCCAAAGUCUUUCCACUGUAAUGUAUUUUGAAAUGACACCACUGGGGCACAGGGAAAGGGGAGAUGGAGAAAUCAGCAGUAUGUCAACGCCAUGGCCAUAGUUAGCAUCUUUCGGGCUCUGUACAGCUCCACUGCAGUGUUGCCAAGUCUGCAGGUUUCCUGAGAUGAUUAUUUUUUAUUGGAGAUAUAUUUAUUUUAAGGGCAGUUGCACUGGUUUUCAGGAACAGUAGGGAAGUUCUGGUUUUUAGGAACAGUAGAGAAGAACUUUAGGAGAUGCUACUGUGACCCAAGCUUUAAAAAGGACAUGAUCAAAUGGUGGCAUCUCAGAUAUGGAUAAGUAAACCAGACAGGCAGGAUGAAAUAACUGACCUGAACCUUUGCCCCCGCCUCCCCCCCCCCCAUGUGAGCCAAACUGGGACAAAAGUCUUUUAUGAGUUUUGAAAAAAAGCUGGGUUAACUUUUUGUUUUAGGUUAGAUUUCAUUUAAGUGCAUCAGGCUGCUUCCCCUUUCUCAUAAAACAAGAAUAUGGGGCAAGGCAAUGAAAUGGAAAGACAGCACAAAUAAGAUUGAUGAAAGGAAUUUGUAUCGGUUUAUUUUGUACACUAUCAUAGGCGCCGAGUUUCUAAUCUGCUGAGGGGUGCUCCGCCCCGGUUCCGCCCAGGCCCUGCCCCUACUUCACCCUUUCCCCCAAUGUUCCACCCCUGCCCUGCUUCUUCCCACCCCUGCCCCGCCUCUUCCCCUCCCAGUUCCACCUCCUCCCCUGAGCGUGCUGCACCCUCGCUUCUACCUCCUCCUCCCCCAGGGCCUCUGAUUUUAGAAGGAGCAGGAGGCUCCAGGGGAGAGGGAGAGGUGCUGAUCGGCAGGGCCCACUGCAGGGCAGGAGGCGCUGUGGGGAGGGAGAGUCAUUGAUGGGGGACUGCCAGUGGGUGCUCAGCACCCAACAUAUUUUCCCCAUGCAUGCUUCAUGGAGUUGGCGCCUAUGAACACUACACAUAACUAACCUGUGGAACUCACAGCCACAAGAUAUCACACAGACUAAGAGUUUAGUAAAAUGAACAAAGGUCUACAGAUUUACAUGGACAAAUGAGACCAUCCAGAGUUAUAUUAGAUAGAAUGGGCCAGAUUCCUAGCUGGCGUAAAUGGGCAUGCUGCCACUGAUUUGGGUGGGUCCACGUGGCUUCUUCCGGGGCCACAGAGGGCAGCAGCAUAGAUGAAGAACUUUGGCGAGGGCCCCGCCUGCCCGGCAAUAAAUAAAAGCUGCAAUCACUACUGCUGGGAUAGGAGGUAGAACUGUGGGGCAGACCAGCCAGAAGCUCCUUUAGGGGCUGGAGCUACAGUGGCUGAACUCUGGACUCUACAAACACUGGACAACAAACAGCAACAGAAGAAAGUGCCCAUGGUGAGCAUUGCUUUAUUGAACACGGACCUUGAAUUUAAGACCAUUGCCAAGACACUCCGAGGAGUGGGAGUCUUACUUAAUAGGUCUAUUUAGAUAUUUUUGAUUGAAUAUUGCAGGCUUUCCCAGGUGUGGGCGCCCCCUUUCCCCACAAACCUCUGGACUCCGUGGUUGUGACUGGGUAAGGAUUGGCUGUCAAGGGCACCCAGGGAAGUAUUUAGCUUUCCCAUGUUUCUGGGUGGGGGCUCUGGCCGGUGUUAUUUGUUACAUUUUCAUAAGGAACCCCUAGAUAUUUGAACGUGAUCCUUUUUGCUCCAGCAGCCCCUGGCAGAAAGGUUACAUAGCAAUAGGCUUUUCUGUGCGAUGCAAGGUCCAUAACAUGAGUCUCAUUCCAUUUCUCGCCAGUAGUCAGAGAAAUUAUGUUUCUUCCUAUGUACUGUGUCUUCAAGUAUAUUAUCUGUCACAUAUUUACCUGGAAAUGUUGGUGUCAUCCAGUCCUAUAUCAUUAAGGUCAAGGGAUAAAAAUCACAGCUUCCUUUUGCUUGUAAAUUUCCUCUGUUGGCUAUAUGCAUGUUAAUCUCUCAUUGUUUAAUAAAGAGAAGACCUUGGCAAUGUU